UACGAAGGGUGCAAGCGUUACUCGGAAUUACUGGGCGUAAAGCGUGCGUAGGUGGUUCGUUAAGUCUGAUGUGAAAGCCCUGGGCUCAACCUGGGAACUGCAUUGGAUACUGGCGAUCUGGAGUGCGGUAGAGGGUAGCGGAAUUCCCGGUGUAGCAGUGAAAUGCGUAGAUAUCGGGAGGAACAUCCGUGGCGAAGGCGGCUACCUGGACCAGCACUGACACUGAGGCACGAAAGCGUGGGGAGCAAACAGGAUUAGAUACCCUGGUAGUC
This 272-nucleotide ribosomal RNA is filed under the name uncultured Lysobacterales bacterium. RNAcentral's name for it is "uncultured Xanthomonadales bacterium partial 16S ribosomal RNA". It matches the Rfam family "Bacterial small subunit ribosomal RNA", at positions 524 to 795 of the family's 1533-position model. Lineage: Bacteria; Pseudomonadati; Pseudomonadota; Gammaproteobacteria; Lysobacterales. The record is from RNAcentral.